AGCUCCAAUAGCGUAUACUAACGUUGUUGCAGUUAAAAAGCUCGUAGUUGGAUUUCUGAUGAUGGUUGGAUGAAUGGGACCGCGUGUCUCAUUUACCAUACUAUCGUCAACAUAUGUGAUGAGCUGAUGUGGUUACUUUAUUGUGAUCCGUCAUUUAAUCACUCGUUUACUUUGAGAAAAUUAGAGUGUUCAAAGCAGGCAUCAUGCCUUGAAUAUGUUAGCAUGGAAUAAUAGCAUAGGACUUUGGUUCUAUUUGUUGGUUGUUCGAGAACCGGAGUAAUGAUUGAUAGGGACGGUUGGGGGCAUCCGUAUUCUCAAGCGAGAGGUGAAAUUCUUGGACCUUGGGAAGACGAACAGCUGCGAAAGCGUUUGCCUAGGACGUUCUCU
RNAcentral lists this ribosomal RNA (387 nucleotides) under uncultured eukaryote. RNAcentral's name for it is "SSU rRNA". It matches the Rfam family "Eukaryotic small subunit ribosomal RNA", at positions 587 to 972 of the family's 1831-position model. The record is from RNAcentral.